Lagopus leucura (white-tailed ptarmigan) is the source of this 265-nucleotide long non-coding RNA. RefSeq lists it as uncharacterized. The record is from RefSeq and is a predicted model, not a curated record. The transcript is spliced from 3 exons. Lineage: Eukaryota; Metazoa; Chordata; Aves; Galliformes; Phasianidae.
AGCAGCCAUAAAUGAAGAGCCUCCCAUAGUCACUCAGUACUUCGUGGGAAUGUUCAACUGAGAACCUUCCAGCUUUUUGGCAAUUUCCAAUAGACAGCAGACACGCAUAAUUACUACACUACAACUGAAGGAUAGACGGGGAAAAAAAGAAAAAGAAACACAAAGCAGCAACUCGUGAAUCCAAGAGAAACAAUUAAGUGGACUAAACUUCAGAGGAACUGGUUUAAGUAGAGAUGCUCCAGCCCUCUCAUCAUCUUUGUGGCCC